CUGGGUACUCCGGAAGCUUCCAGAGACAGCGUGGGGCGGCUGACGUGCGGGGAGACACAGACGUGGAGGACGCCACGGCCGCCUCGCCCCCAGGGCUCCUGGAGCGCGGCUGGCGGAGGAGCCGAGCAGAUGGUGCAGCUGAGCGUUUCCUGCCUGGGCGGGAGGAGGUGGGGUUGCCGCCGGCGGGGCCUGUGACUGUGAGUGGGGCUCGCUGAGCAGCUGAUGUGGGGGGUGGGGGGGGCGUGGAUUACGCCAUGUGUGACGGCAGAGGGGGGACAACGUGUCGAGAGACGUGGCCUUGGAUGUAAGGAAGGGUCGUGAGAAAAUACGCAGGAAGAGAUACCCCGUGGACAUGUUUCCCUUGGAAAGUGGAUGGAACCCUCUGAGCCAUGAUUCCGCCGGAAUUAAGCAGUGGCGGGCACUGGCCUGGCAGGCGGCUUCUACUGCCUUGGAUUUGCACCUCUAAGGGGUCACAGGGGCCACCCCCGAAGCAAGACAAAGUGUGAUCAUGAACAGGCCCUCGGGGGGCCAGAAGAAGGAACGGCUCCAGUGAUGAAGGCUGAACGCCAGCUCUCUCCCCAUUGUUCUCCCGGACCAGGAGAGGGCUGCUCGGCAGGGCUGGGUUUAAAAACCUUCCAUGCAACUUACGAAGGCAUCCACAGUGACUUCUGCUGCUGUGGUACGUUCUGCCCUCCCCUCCUCCCCGCCCCAUCCUGUUCUCGGCUACAAGUUAUUUAUAUGUACAGUGUCAUCUGAACGUGCAUGGGCCUAUCCCAGGACAUCACACACAAAGAGGCUGCGGUGAACCCAAGCCGCCGGGCCGGCCUGUGGCUCAGUGUCUGUUUCAGAAGUCCCGGCCCCAGGCAGCUCUCCUGAACAGAGCCACUGGAACUCAGGAGGGUCAGGACCACAGCCCAAACAACUGUGACCGAAAACACCCUACAGGGCUUGAGAACUAAAAAAUAAGGAGGGAUCUGGGCAGCCGAGCUGCCUCCUAAAGAAGCCACAUCAUAGAGAAAACUGCUUGCUCUAUCUAUGAGACGGAGGCGGCCGGGGUGUCCUGCCAGCAGACACGGGUCUGUCCAUCACCGGCCACCGCGCUGCCUCUGUCCUUCACUCCCAUUUAAGGGAAAACGAUAUCUCUUCAUCUUUCUGCCCUGGACAUUGGAAAUCAGCGGUGAGAACAGUGCUCUUGCUACAAAAUGCUCAGGUUCUAGAAUGCUCCCAUCUUUCCUUCCAUUCCACAUGGAGUUUAUCCAAAGCACAAAGGCCAGUCAUGGCACUGACAUCCGUGGUGCCCGCCCACCGGCGAGUGGGAAACAGAAGGCUGUCCUCAGAGGACCGUGACUGUGAGCCUGCAGCUGCUUGUGGGUGGGGCCAGCCCGCAGCUCCUCCUGGAGGCCUCGGGCUUCUUGCUGCUGCAUUUCUGUGACAUGUGGGGGGAGGAUCGUUUUGACACCUGCCUGGGAAGUUUCAAAGGAGAUGGCCUCUGGGCAGGGGUUUUAAACUGAAGGGCACCACACAGAUCCAGAUGUGAACUGUGGCUGUUGUUUGCAAUUGAAGCAGAGAUGCAGAGGAUGGAACAGGAGUGCUGGCCACGCUGCUCUAUGGCCUUGGCCCAGCCAAGACCCCCAGUCAAUGGGGCUACGGGACCCCCGCUACACAGGGACCUGGGAACCACCUUUGCCGCGGUUGACCGCUGGGCCCGCCAUGCACCGCCCACACCUGGCUGUGCCUGGAGACUGAGAGCAGGGGGUGAUGGUGGGCCUGGUGUGUGGAGUCCCGCAGCGGGAAGGGUGGGAGGGGAGUUGGGAGAGCGCAGUCACCCAGGGGUCCCCAUGUGGGCUUGUACAAGCCUGGCUCAAUCUGCAUAGCAACUGGGCAGGCAGAGCGAGCCCCCACUUUAUGGGUGAGAAAACCGAGGCACGGAGAGGUGAAUGCGCAUGGAAUCAAUGCCGCUAAGACAGAAGUGAGGCGGAAAAGCCUGUCCUCGCCAGGGGCGGCCCUGUCUCCAGCUCCCAGGUACCUCCCGCUCAUCUGCCCGAGGCUCCUGGGGAUGUGGCUCUUGGGUUUCAGGAGGGCCCUGCUCCUCCUGUGGGAACCACGGACACGUGUGUGCCCGCGUGCCCUGAGCUCACACACACACCACGGCGCAUGGGCAGGGAAGCGGCGCUCCUGGCUACCCGGAAGAGUCUCUCCCUUUUGCAAACGCCAGCCACAGAGGUUUAUUUUUCUCCCUGAGAGAAGGAAGAGUGAAGGCUGAGACUGAGACAGAAGGAGAAGACUUAGAAGCCAGUGAGCCCGGAGCCACGAGACGCGCUCAGAGGACACGGGGCCUCGGGGAAACCGGGCACGGGCAGGGGUUGGUCUUGGCUUCCCUGCAACAUUGCCGCGAGCUCGGGUGCCGUCUCCACUCGCAGGCUGGCCUGUCCUCUGCAGCCAUGAGCUCAGGCACCGUCUCCAUUCAUAGGCCAGCCUGUUCUCUGCAGCCUGAGGUCCCUGUGGUGCCAACAUCCAGAUGCUGAGAUAAUUCUGCCAGGGUGUUGGCUGAUCGGUGAUUGGUGGUUGGCUGUUCUGUGAGUUCUGCAUUGAUCUUGCUGGCUGAGCGUCCAAUGCGGAGGGGCAGGUGCUGUUAGGGUCUCCACUCCCAUCCCUCUCCCCAGGACUCAUCACCCACUGCAACCGUAAGCUGCUAGGGGCUCACAGCCGUGAGUCUUUGGAACGGGUGGUCCCACCUGGCAUGCAGCUCAGGCUACCAGCCCCAGGACCCUGCUGCUGCUCCCCUCCCGCCCACAUCUUGGCUUAGCCGUCUUCCCUGGCUGCCAGCCCCUUCCCCUGGUCUUAGUUGGCUUGGGCCACUAAACUGAAAUAGCACACCCUGAGGCCUUCAACAGCAGACCUGAUUUCUCACCAUCUGGAGGCUGGAGGUCCAGGAUCCAGGCCCCCAAGGCUGCUUUCUCCCCCACUCCCCCACCCACCUUCCAGGACACGCGGACUCCACCCUCUUGCUGCCCUGUCUCAGGGCUGUCCCUCUGGGCAAGCAGGCCCCUGGCAUCCCCCUGUGUCCUCUCCUCCUGUUCUUAUAAGGACACCAGUCAUACUGGAUCUGGGCCCACCCUAGUGACCUCAUUUACCUUAAUCACCUCUGAAAGACCUUGUCUCAACAACAGCCGCAUUCUGGGGCACUGAGGGUUAGGGCUUUAACAUGGGAAUUUGAGGGAUGCAAUUCACCCCAUAAAACCCAGACCAUUCCCCCAAUAAAUCACUUUCACAAGAGCUCUUCUCUCAGGCUUCGCUUCUGGGGGAUCCCCCUUGAGACGGCUCCAUCUAGCUUCCUGCUUCUCAAAGAACAGAGGGGAGAGCCCUGGUGCGAAGGUAACGGGUGGCCUUGGGGGCCUGCGGAUAAGCUGCUGGCACUGCCAGGGGACAGGCUGAGCUGAAAGCCAGGAGGAGGGCGGCGAGGCCCGGGCUGGACCUCGUUCUUCUGAGUGUUAUAAAAUCUGGCUUUGCUCAGAAA
Long non-coding RNA from Pan troglodytes (chimpanzee), 3517 nucleotides. RefSeq lists it as uncharacterized. The transcript is spliced from 2 exons. NCBI's taxonomy places the organism in Eukaryota, Metazoa, Chordata, Mammalia, Primates, Hominidae. The record is from RefSeq and is a predicted model, not a curated record.